GAUUCCUACGGGAGGCAGCAGUGAGGAAUAUUGGUCAAUGGGCGCAAGCCUGAACCAGCCAUCCCGCGUGAAGGAAGAAGGCGCUAUGCGUUGUAAACUUCUUUUCCAGGAGAAUAAAAUUCUGUACGUGUACGGAAUUGAAGGUACCCUGGGAAUAAGCAUCGGCUAACUCCGUGCCAGCAGCCGCGGUAAUAAUC
This 197-nucleotide ribosomal RNA is filed under the name uncultured bacterium. RNAcentral describes it as "partial 16S ribosomal RNA". It matches the Rfam family "Bacterial small subunit ribosomal RNA", at positions 334 to 526 of the family's 1533-position model. The record is from RNAcentral.